UACAGAGGUGGCAAGCGUUGUUCGGAAUUACUGGGCGUAAAGGGCGCGUAGGCGGCCUUCUAAGUCAGACGUGAAAUCCCCCGGCUUAACCUGGGAACUGCGUCUGAUACUGGGAGGCUUGAGUAUGGGAGAGGGAUGUAGAAUUCCAGGUGUAGCGGUGAAAUGCGUAGAUAUCUGGAGGAAUACCGGUGGCGAAGGCGGCUUCCUGGACCGACACUGACGCUGAGGCGCGAAAGCUAGGGGAGCAAACGGG
This 253-nucleotide ribosomal RNA is filed under the name uncultured bacterium. RNAcentral describes it as "partial 16S ribosomal RNA". It matches the Rfam family "Bacterial small subunit ribosomal RNA", at positions 524 to 776 of the family's 1533-position model. The record is from RNAcentral.